UCAGAACAAUGAUUGGAUAGAUUCUGAUAGCUUUUAUUUGAAUAAAAAACGAGGAACACUAGGAA
This 65-nucleotide transfer RNA is filed under the name Bigelowiella sp. RCC560. The record is from RNAcentral. Lineage: Eukaryota; Cercozoa; Chlorarachniophyceae.